GCUGGGUUGGCCGAGCGGUGUAAGGCAGUCGUCUUGAAAACGAUCGAGGGCGAGUCCCCCUCCAUGAGUUUGAAUCUCGCAUCUACCG
This is a non-coding RNA of Xylella fastidiosa, 88 nucleotides long. Lineage: Bacteria; Pseudomonadati; Pseudomonadota; Gammaproteobacteria; Lysobacterales; Lysobacteraceae. The record is from Rfam.